CUUUCCGCCAGAGAACUACAAGUGAAAAACUUGAAACUCAAAGGACUUGACGGUGUCCCAUAUCGGCCUAGAGGAGCCUGUCCUAUAAUCGAUACCCCCCGUUCCACCCAACCCUAACUAGCAAACACAUCCAGCCUAUAUACCGCCGUCGACAGUUUACCCUAUGAAGGUCCAAUAGUAGACACAAUAGCCUUUAACACUAGUACGUCAGGUCAAGGUGUAGCAAAUGUUGGGGAAGAGAUUGGCUACAUUUUUUAUAAUAAAAUAUACGGAUUGCACUAUGAAAUACUGCAUGAAGGUGAAUUUAGUAGUAAAACAGAUAAGAGUGUCUGUUUUAACAACGCUCUGG
RNAcentral lists this ribosomal RNA (349 nucleotides) under Podarcis sp. AAL-2009a. RNAcentral's name for it is "partial 12S ribosomal RNA". It matches the Rfam family "Bacterial small subunit ribosomal RNA", at positions 865 to 1377 of the family's 1533-position model. Lineage: Eukaryota; Metazoa; Chordata; Lepidosauria; Squamata; Lacertidae. The record is from RNAcentral.